RNAcentral lists this transfer-messenger RNA (361 nucleotides) under Mycobacterium tuberculosis. Its description in RNAcentral is "transfer-messenger RNA%2C SsrA". It matches the Rfam family "transfer-messenger RNA". Rfam says of the family: Bacterial tmRNA, also known as 10Sa RNA or SsrA, is named for its dual tRNA and mRNA-like properties. The record is from RNAcentral. Lineage: Bacteria; Bacillati; Actinomycetota; Actinomycetes; Mycobacteriales; Mycobacteriaceae.
GGGGACGUUCUUGGAUUCGACGGGGGUAGUUCGAGCAUGGGUUGCGGGUAGCGGGGACGCGUCCGCUUCAUCAACGCUAAAGCCAAUUAAAUGGCAAACAACAAAACAACUACGCUUUCGCAGCUUAAUAACCUGUGAGCGUGCUCCUGCUCUGCAUCGCCCAUGUGCCGGGAUAGGGGCUCAACCUUAGUGGGAUACGCUGUCUAGUCUCCGCCUGCGGCUAGCUGAAGAAGACAAUCAGGCUGACCCAACGCAGAGCCGGUUACGGGGCGCUGCUCGGGUGACAUCAAAACUGUGACUACACCCGUAGAAGCCUGUGUGGCGUUAUCUUCGGACAGGGGUUCGACUCCCCUCGUCUCCA